CUACGGGAGGCAGCAGUGGGGAAUAUUGCACAAUGGGCGCAAGCCUGAUGCAGCGACGCCGCGUGAGGGAUGACGGCCUUCGGGUUGUAAACCUCUUUCAGUAGGGAAGAAGCGAAAGUGACGGUACCUGCAGAAGAAGCGCCGGCUAACUACGUGCCAGCAGCCGCGGUAAUACGUAGGGCGCAAGCGUUAUCCGGAAUUAUUGGGCGUAAAGAGCUCGUAGGCGGUUUGUCGCGUCUGCCGUGAAAGUCCGGGGCUCAACUCCGGAUCUGCGGUGGGUACGGGCAGACUAGAGUGAUGUAGGGGAGACUGGAAUUCCUGGUGUAGCGGUGAAAUGCGCAGAUAUCAGGAGGAACACCGAUGGCGAAGGCAGGUCUCUGGGCAUUAACUGACGCUGAGGAGCGAAAGCAUGGGGAGCGAACAGGAUUAGAUACCCUGGUAGUCCAUGCCGUAAACGUUGGGCACUAGGUGUGGGGGACAUUCCACGUUUUCCGCGCCGUAGCUAACGCAUUAAGUGCCCCGCCUGGGGAGUACGGCCGCAAGGCUAAAACUCAAAGGAAUUGACGGGGGCCCGCACAAGCGGCGGAGCAUGCGGAUUAAUUCGAUGCAACGCGAAGAACCUUACCAAGGCUUGACAUGAACCGGUAAGACCUGGAAACAGGUCCCCCGCUAGCGGUCGGUUUACAGGUGGUGCAUGGUUGUCGUCAGCUCGUGUCGUGAGAUGUUGGGUUAAGUCCCGCAACGAGCGCAACCCUCGUUCUAUGUUGCCAGCACGUGAUGGUGGGGACUC
Molecule: ribosomal RNA, 790 nt
Filed under: Arthrobacter sp. O4
Lineage: Bacteria; Bacillati; Actinomycetota; Actinomycetes; Micrococcales; Micrococcaceae
Description: bacterial SSU rRNA
Rfam family: Bacterial small subunit ribosomal RNA
Source: RNAcentral